This is a long non-coding RNA of Anopheles merus, 3361 nucleotides long. RefSeq lists it as uncharacterized. Lineage: Eukaryota; Metazoa; Arthropoda; Insecta; Diptera; Culicidae. The record is from RefSeq and is a predicted model, not a curated record. The transcript is spliced from 4 exons.
CAACUGAAGCGCAAAUAGUAUUCCUAUCGAGCAUACCCCAGCGUGCUUGUCAUCUCGUGCGUUCGUAUUGAGGUAAAAUGGUGCAAAAAAAACCUAGUGCAAAUAAUCAGAACACUGUGAAUUUGUUUCUGCCCAACUUACCAAUCGUUCCCAAUUCGAUCUCAAUGGAUCGAUCGAUUGAAGCCCGUUCGGGGUAGGGGAAUUUUGGGAUGCCUUUUUUCUAGCCAGUUUACAAUGCAAUGGUAAGUUAGCUGAGCCGUUGAAAGUUCCUAGAGGACGCCCGAGGCAAAAUGAGGCACACAAAAAAAGACAAGUUGCCCUUACAUUGUCAGAAAAGAAUUCCUGAAAAUCAAUCCAUCCGCUGGGUAUUCAAAGCAGCAAAUUGAAUGAAGCAGCGAAGUGAAGCGGCCAACGGGAUUCACAAAUUCGUACUUAAUCUCUUCCAGCAGCCAGUUUUCUGUCGGCACGAAACGCAAACGGGCAAUAUAGCGAUCCGCUUACGCGAAGGCACGCGGGCACUGAGAGUGAACUGAUAAGCUCGUCCGACUUACGGGCAAGCCGCGUGCAUCCAAUGGCUCGUUGGGACGGCGUCCCAAAGAACGGAGAUGAUAAGCUUAAAGGUUGGUGCUUCGCUUCCACAUUGGUGAUAACGAGUGUUGAAUAUUUUUCCGUUGCCGUAUCGAACUGUGAUUUUGGUUUUGCCGUGGAUUAUCAGUUUCUGGUUCUUGCCGUGGCCGGCUCGUGUGUGAGGUAUUUCGGUUCAUUUCAGGUUCGGCGGGUUUUAUUUGCUGUUGGCUUUGUCCUUUUCACCGUGAAUGGAGGAUAUUCCUGUCUAUUAAAUUGUUUAGUAUCCGAUUAUCAUAAUCGCCACACUGCAUCGUUAUAGAUUCUUCAGAAAAGCUGAAACAAAACUGAAAAGUCAACAUGCAAAUGAAAGACUGCAUCAGCAAAAGUUAUUGCGAAAGCCGAAAGUGUUGAUGCACCUGUUUUUCUGCCCAGCCUGUUUCUUCAAACCGCUAUCGCCAUGAAACACCCGUCGCUUCAUACUGCAGCUAACAGCGAACCUUAAUCCUAAAACGCUCGAACCGGUAGCUGCGCGACCAUCAGGAGGGCGAAUCCGAUUGUCCAUCGUUAGCGUCGGUUGCAUUUUGUGGUGCAUUAGCUUUUAGCUUCUGCUGACAUUCAAUAUCCAGGCUUCGGAGCCAUCCGUAUCUAAACGUAGCUGGAAGGACUGGCGGGGUUGUAGAUCUAGAUGUCAACAUGAUGUGGCGCUUCAUGAGGCAGCAAAAUCCUAGCAUGAGGAGAACAAAACAUCGGAACAAAAUUCGUGUGUACAUUUCGCGGUGACACCGUUGAGGCGUCGACAGCUGGCUUCUGAGGUGGGAAGGGUUUUCAUCCGGCAAAUGGUGCGUACAGAGGGAGCGGAAUUGGCAUUGCAAUCCCUCAACCCCUGCUUCGUGUGCGAAACCUCCGAGAGAAGAACACAUUUAUUUCCUUUAGUCGCCCUCACAGGGAGGCAUUAGCCUUUCAUCAGCUGGCUGGCAAAGGUACUAGCUGACGGUUGCUCGAUGCCUUUCGAGUGGUCUUGAAAAGCUUACCUCAUUGCAUUAGCAGAAGACUGGCUGCUGGGAGGGAUGGAGUCGGCAACCCAAGCACGUUUCAUGUUGCGUGUUAUUCGUUUAGUCGCUCCGAAACGUUCGCGGUUCGGGGUUGGAAAUGGGAUUAAGGUUGACCGAGCGACUCGCACCGUUACGGUAUGGAUCGGGUGGCCAAUCCGAUGACAUAAGAAAAUCCCCUCUAAUUGGUCACGCCGUCGACGGUAGCGUCCACGAUUCGGUUGAAGCAUCUUUCUGCACUUCCUGCUCCCUAAACGCAUCACAAAUAGGUCCUCGGAUGGUCGCACUGGUAAGAUUAUCGUUAUCGUUUGCGCGCAGCAAAACUUCCAAAUUACUCCCUAUUUUCAUACCGUAAUCGGUCUAACGAUGUAGCGUCCUUUGCACUUUUGCUUUCCUAUGACUAAAGCCGAGUUCUGCCAACCUGAGUUAUUACUUCACAGAUCCUGAAUUGCGAGCUGAUGAGGAGUCGCGCAUGGAUGCUGUAAGUUGUGGUUGUGAUGUAAACGUUUUCACUUGAAAUCUCCGUAUAGUCGGCGAGCUGUCUUCUCUACAACGCUCUGGUCACAAUGGUGAAAGACGUAGACGAGUACGUUCAUGCAAAUUAGCAAGCAGCUGCACUGGGAGGCAGGGAAAGUACAAAGUACGGAAAUAUGAGACACAUUUUUCAAAGCGAAUACAAACACUACCACCAAAAGGGGGCUAAGAUUCAAAAGAAAAAGAAAAAAACGUAGCAAGUAUCUUGAAUGAGUUGAAAAUGUCUGCACGCUUAGUUAAUGUGUGCUUAAAUUAGGCGACGCUCUAUCUCGUACCGUCUUGACUUUAUUGUCUUCGAAGACGAUAGCUAAGCUGAUGAGGAAAAAUAUAUUAGGCCACUCGAGGCGCAACACGGAUUAUGAAAAGUCAGUCGUCGACAUUGCAGCUUUUUUACCAAAUCUGGAAUUAACUAGGGCCGCUUAAGGUGUGGACUGUAUUUAAAUGUAUAUAAACGCUACUUCUUGAUGACUCGCACAUACAGGCAAGGAUAAUAAAGAUUACGGAACCGCUUGAUGUCGUUGGGUUGUUUUAAAUUCCAACACGUAGCUUUGCCAUGGUCGUUUAGUACGUCUAGUUAGGGAUUGAUGUAGGGAAGGAAACCAUAGUUUAUGUUCAAGUCACUAUAAGCAUCUUUCCACCUCGCUGGCAAAUACUGGAUUAAACAAAUUGCCGGAAGAAAAUUAUACGCUUAUUUAAAAAAUCAACAAUUGGACAAUGUAAUUUUGAUUAAUUAAAAGCAGCCUUAGUUUAUGACGAUGAAAGCGUUUAAGACUAAUAGACAAAGAUUUAAUUUUUGAAGGGGUUUAUUUUGGUUAACAUUACAAAUCUUCAAUCCACGAUAUUGAAUGUAUGUGCAGUUGUAACAGAAAAUAAAACAGCAUCUGCCUACGAUGUUAUUGCGUUGUUUAUUAAUAAAAAAUGUUUAUUGGUUUUUGUUUUUCCGUACCAGUAAAUCAACAAAAAACGCUUAAAACCCUGAUAGACCGUGCCCCCGACGUAAAACUGACUAUCCUGCUACGGAUAAUCAAUCAGUCACUGAAACUCAAGCUCACUAGAGGUACAUGUAGGCCUUGACAGACAGCGGUAGUUGUGCCAAAGAAGAAGAAGCAGAAGAAGUAAACAAUAAAUGUAAUCCCGUGUACUAUAGAAACAUUGCUUUUUGGUUAAGUUUUAAUGGACGGCUGCAUGUUUGAAAAUAAAUCACAAGUAAA